AAAAUCUUCCCCUUUCUUCAAAAAUCCUAAGACCCUUAUUCAUAAAUCCAAGUACUGGUUACCACAAUCGAUGGACAAUUGCUCGCCACUGCCAACUGUUGCUGCCUGGUGUUAGUUCGAGUCUAAAUUUUACCUUGAAGCUUCUUUUGAUCCCCUCUUUUCGUUUCCAACUCUAGUUUUGCCUGAAAACCAAACGAAACUCCUAAAUUUGAAAUCCAAGCCUGAAACUUCAAACUGUCGAAAGCUCCUAUCCCGCUGUGCGAUUUAGCUCAAAAUUUCCUUGUUAUCUUGCAAAACCCAAAACCUAAGUGAGAGAAAGUUUCUUUCUCAUGUUUCUUCAAAGUUAAUUGAAACCCAAGCCCUUUUUUUGCUAUGUUUGUGUUUGGAAUUUUUUUAUGAUUAUUAUUUAUGACUGAAGUUCCUCCCGACAAUGGCUUUUUUUUUUUGUGGCUGUAGGUUUUGGUUUUUGGUGGUGGUGUGGUGGUUCAUAAUUGUGGUGGCUUAGGAAAUGGAUUGUGGAGGCAAAUGGUGUUUUUGGUGCCAUGAAAACGAUGGUCGCAGUUGAGGGUUUGGAUUUUUCGGUUUGUGCAUUUCCUUAAAUUUUUUUUUAUGUAGCGAGUUAUCAAGGUGGUAGACAUGAUGUGCUAAGGGGUUUGUGUCACUGUAGACACUUAAUUUUAUUCAACUCAAUAUAUUCGAUUUUUAUGUUUUGGUUCUUGCCGCAUUCCAGUUGGAUUGACUUUAGUUAGGUUUUGUUUUGAAUUAAUAAUUUUUGGAUUAUUUUUACAUG
This 790-nucleotide long non-coding RNA is filed under the name Durio zibethinus. Its description in RNAcentral is "long non-coding RNA (DZIB_LNC000224)". Lineage: Eukaryota; Viridiplantae; Streptophyta; Magnoliopsida; Malvales; Malvaceae. The record is from RNAcentral.